Molecule: long non-coding RNA, 659 nt
Filed under: Anas platyrhynchos platyrhynchos (common mallard)
Lineage: Eukaryota; Metazoa; Chordata; Aves; Anseriformes; Anatidae
Description: lncRNA (ENSAPLG00000031099.1)
Source: RNAcentral
UAGAAACCAAGUGUAUUGCUUUAGCUGUAAGCCAGAGUGGUUAAUAUAUAUACAAUGUAUUUGUUAUUUAGUACUGCUAAUUUGAUCUGAAUUUCACUCACUGUAUGCUUAUCCUGAAGUCAAUAGCAGAGAAUUUCCAUCCUUGCAGGGAUCCACUGGACACACGGAAUAAGGACAGAAGUUUAUCUCCUUGUAUAACCUCCCGCUUAUAAUUACUGAGCAAAAUAACAGCAGCAAGAUAUGACAAAAGUUGAAAACGAGGGCUUGCUGCAGGGACUGCUGUGCAUUUUCUGACCCGUUCACAGGGACAGGAUUUGGUAUUAGGGCUGUGGACAUUCUGUGUUACCUUUCACAUAAGACACACAGUUGUUCAAGUCACCUUCUGCUCAUCUUCUCUAUUGCCACAGCUACCUGGCGGGCACAAGGCAGGCUUGAAUGAUUCAGAGCAGGGUCAAAUCCUUGGCCAUGUUCAUGGAGCAUCAAGAGACACAGAAAUAAGAGUAACAGGAAUGCGUCUCAGAACUGUUCAUUUGCUUGAGGAUGUAAAUUCACUUCUGCUAUUGACGAAUUUGCCCCAUUCUGCAACAGGUAAAUAAAACCCAAAACCUUACAAACAAUGUGACAAAAUAAAAAUGAAGCCAAAUAUUUGUAUGCUUACA